This 546-nucleotide ribosomal RNA is filed under the name uncultured archaeon. Its description in RNAcentral is "bacterial SSU rRNA". It matches the Rfam family "Archaeal small subunit ribosomal RNA", at positions 74 to 621 of the family's 1478-position model. The record is from RNAcentral.
AUACAAGGCAGACGGCUCAGUAACGCGUAGUCAACCUAACCUAUGGACGGGAAUAACCUCGGGAAACUGAGAAUAAUGCCCGAUAGAACACUAUACCUGGAAUGGUUUGUGUUCCAAAUGAUUUAUCGCCGUAGGAUGGGACUGCGGCCUAUCAGUUUGUUGGUGAGGUAAUGGCCCACCAAGACUAUUACAGGUACGGGCUCUGAGAGGAGUAGCCCGGAGAUGGGUACUGAGACACGGACCCAGGCCCUAUGGGGCGCAGCAGGCGAGAAAACUUUGCAAUGUGCGAAAGCACGACAAGGUUAAUCCGAGUGAUUUGUGCUAAACGAAUCUUUUGUUAGUCCUAGAAACACUAACGAAUAAGGGGUGGGCAAGUUCUGGUGUCAGCCGCCGCGAUAAAACCAGCACCUCAAGUGGUCAGGAUGAUUAUCGGGCCUAAAGCAUCCGUAGCCGGCUCUGUAAGUUUUCGGUUAAAUCUGUACGCUUGACGUACAGGCUGCCGGGAAUACUGCAGAGCUAGGGAGUGGGAGAGGUAGACGGUACUCG